Molecule: long non-coding RNA, 515 nt
Filed under: Homo sapiens (human)
Lineage: Eukaryota; Metazoa; Chordata; Mammalia; Primates; Hominidae
Description: HSALNT0123170
Source: RNAcentral
AGUAGAAAGGACACCAGCUUGGAAUCAGUUCGGACCUGUGUCUGCUGCACAGCUGAAUCCCUGGGAAACUCUUUUAGUGUAGCAUGGCAGAAAGAACAAUGGCUAUGCCCACACAAAUACCUGCUGAUGGAGAUACAAUGGAGUUUCGCUCUUGUUAACCAGGCUGGAGUGCAAUGGCGCUAUCUCUGCUCACUGCAACCUCCACCUCCCAGCAAAAAGAAAAUAAUAUUCGUUGUUUAACUACGAUUGGACAUUUUGGUUUUGAAUGUUUGCCCAAUCAGUUGGUGAGCAGAUCUAUCCGACAAGGAUUCACUUUUAAUAUUCUCUGUGUGGGGGAGACUGGAAUUGGAAAAUCGACACUGAUAGACACAUUGUUUAAUACUAACUUGAAAGAUAACAAAUCCUCACAUUUUUACUCAAAUGUUGGACUUCAAAUUCAGACAUAUGAACUUCAGGAAAGCAAUGUUCAGUUGAAAUUGACUGUUGUGGAGACAGUAGGGUAUGGUGAUCAAAUA